RNAcentral lists this ribosomal RNA (497 nucleotides) under uncultured bacterium. RNAcentral describes it as "partial 16S ribosomal RNA". It matches the Rfam family "Bacterial small subunit ribosomal RNA", at positions 28 to 507 of the family's 1533-position model. The record is from RNAcentral.
GAUGAACGCUGGCGGCGUGCCUAAUACAUGCAAGUCGAGCGAACGGACGAGAAGCUUGCUUCUCUGAUGUUAGCGGCGGACGGGUGAGUAACACGUGGAUAACCUACCUAUAAGACUGGGAUAACUUCGGGAAACCGGAGAUAAUACCGGAUAAUAUUUUGAACCGCAUGGUUCAAAAGUGAAAGACGGUCUUGCUGUCACUUAUAGCUGGAUCCGCGCUGCAUUAGCUAGUUGGUAAGGUAACGGCUUACCAAGGCAACGAUGCAUAGCCGACCUGAGAGGGGGAUCGGCCACACUGGAACUGGGACACGUUCCAUGCUCCUACGGGAGGCAGCAGUAGGGAAUCUGCCGCAGUAGGCGAAAGCCUGGCGGAGCAACGCCGCGUGAGUGAUGAAAGUCUUCGGAUCGUAAAACUCUGUUAUUAGGGAAGAACAUAUGUGUAAGUAACUGUACACAUCUUGACGGUACCUAAUCAGAAAGCCACGGCUAACUACGUG